RNAcentral lists this ribosomal RNA (305 nucleotides) under uncultured bacterium. RNAcentral describes it as "bacterial SSU rRNA". It matches the Rfam family "Bacterial small subunit ribosomal RNA", at positions 338 to 659 of the family's 1533-position model. The record is from RNAcentral.
CCUACGGGAGGCAGCCGUGGGGCAUCUUUCACACUUUGUGCCCCCCUGAUGCAGCAACGCCGCGUGAAGGAAGACGGUUUUCGGAUUGUAAACUUCUGUUCUUAGUGAAGAAAAAUGACGGUAGCUAAGGAGCAAGCCACGGCUAACUACGUGCCAGCAGCCGCGGUAAUACGUAGGUGGCAAGCGUUGUCCGGAAUUACUGGGUGUAAAGGGAGCGCAGGCGGGAAGCCAAGUCAGCUGUGAAAACUACGGGCUUAACUUGUAGACUGCAGUUGAAACUGGUUUUCUUGAGUGAAGUAGAGGUU